GAUGAACGCUGGCGGCGUGCUUAACACAUGCAAGUCGAACGAUGAAGCCCAGCUUGCUGGGUGGAUUAGUGGCGAACGGGUGAGUAACACGUGAGUAACCUGCCCUUAACUCUGGGAUAAGCCUGGGAAACUGGGUCUAAUACCGGAUAGGAGCGCCUACCGCAGGGUGGGUGUUGGAAAGAUUUAUCGGUUUUGGAUGGACUCGCGGCCUAUCAGCUUGUUGGUGAGGUAAUGGCUCACCAAGGCGACGACGGGUAGCCGGCCUGAGAGGGUGACCGGCCACACUGGGACUGAGACACGGCCCAGACUCCUACGGGAGGCAGCAGUGGGGAAUAUUGCACAAUGGGCGAAAGCCUGAUGCAGCGACGCCGCGUGAGGGAUGACGGCCUUCGGGUUGUAAACCUCUUUCAGUAGGGAAGAAGCGAAAGUGACGGUACCUGCAGAAGAAGCACCGGCUAACUACGUG
This 466-nucleotide ribosomal RNA is filed under the name uncultured bacterium. RNAcentral's name for it is "partial 16S ribosomal RNA". It matches the Rfam family "Bacterial small subunit ribosomal RNA", at positions 28 to 507 of the family's 1533-position model. The record is from RNAcentral.